UGGGGAAUCUUCCGCAAUGGGGCGAAAGCCUGACGGAGCGACGCCGCGUGAGUGAAGAAGGUCUUCGGACCGUAAAGCUCUUUUGUUAUAGGCGAAAGGCCGGAGUAGGAAAUGACACCGGUAAGACGGUAUAUAACGAAUAAGCCACGGCUAACUACGUGCCAGCAGCCGCGGUAAUACGUAGGUGGCAAGCGUUGUCCGGAAUUAUUGGGCGUAAAGGGAGCGCAGGCGGAAGGACAAGCCGGAUUUGAAAGUUCGGGGCUCACCCCCGUGACGGAUCCGGAACUGUCCUCCUUGAGAGCGGGAGAAGGAAGCGGAAUUCCUGGUGUAGCGGUGAAAUGCGUAGAUAUCAGGAAGAACACCAGUGGCGAAAGCGGCUUCCCGGACCGAAUCUGACGC
Molecule: ribosomal RNA, 399 nt
Filed under: uncultured Schwartzia sp.
Lineage: Bacteria; Bacillati; Bacillota; Negativicutes; Selenomonadales; Selenomonadaceae
Description: bacterial SSU rRNA
Rfam family: Bacterial small subunit ribosomal RNA
Source: RNAcentral